This 592-nucleotide ribosomal RNA is filed under the name uncultured Desulfosporosinus sp. RNAcentral describes it as "bacterial SSU rRNA". It matches the Rfam family "Bacterial small subunit ribosomal RNA", at positions 335 to 917 of the family's 1533-position model. The record is from RNAcentral. Lineage: Bacteria; Bacillati; Bacillota; Clostridia; Eubacteriales; Desulfitobacteriaceae.
ACUCCUACGGGAGGCAGCAGUGGGGAAUCUUCCGCAAUGGACGAAAGUCUGACGGAGCAACGCCGCGUGUAUGAUGAAGGUCUUCGGAUUGUAAAGUACUGUUUUUAGGGAAGAACGAUCUUGUCAGGAAUAUGGGCAGGAUAUGACGGUACCUAAGGAGGAAGCCCCGGCUAACUACGUGCCAGCAGCCGCGGUAAUACGUAGGGGGCGAGCGUUGUCCGGAAUUAUUGGGCGUAAAGGGCGCGUAGGCGGGUGCUUAAGUCCGGUGUGAAAGAUCAGGGCUCAACCCUGAGAGUGCAUCGGAAACUGGGUGCCUUGAGGACAGGAGAGGAAAGUGGAAUUCCACGUGUAGCGGUGAAAUGCGUAGAUAUGUGGAGGAACACCAGUGGCGAAGGCGACUUUCUGGACUGUAACUGACGCUGAGGCGCGAAAGCGUGGGGAGCAAACAGGAUUAGAUACCCUGGUAGUCCACGCCGUAAACGAUGAGUGCUAGGUGUAGAGGGUAUCGACCCCCUCUGUGCCGGAGUUAACACAAUAAGCACUCCGCCUGGGGAGUACGGCCGCAAGGUUGAAACUCAWAGGAAUUGACGGA